UGCCAGCAAUCGAGGAGCCAGCGGCGC
Molecule: non-coding RNA, 27 nt
Filed under: Homo sapiens (human)
Lineage: Eukaryota; Metazoa; Chordata; Mammalia; Primates; Hominidae
Source: RNAcentral